RNAcentral lists this unclassified non-coding RNA (347 nucleotides) under soil metagenome. RNAcentral describes it as "partial contains 5.8S ribosomal RNA, internal transcribed spacer 2, and large subunit ribosomal RNA". The stretch from base 1 to 119 matches the Rfam family "5.8S ribosomal RNA", at positions 36 to 154 of the family's 154-position model. The record is from RNAcentral.
AUGAAGAACGUAGUGAAAUGCGAUAAGUAAUGUGAAUUGCAGAAUUCAGUGAAUCAUCGAAUCUUUGAACGCACAUUGCGCCCGCCAGUAUUCUGGCGGGCAUGCCUGUCUGAGCGUCAUUUCAACCCUCAUGCCCCUAGGGCGUGGUGUUGGGGAUCGGCCAAAGCCCGCGAGGGACGGCCGGCCCCUAAAUCUAGUGGCGGACCCGUCGUGGCCUCCUCUGCGAAGUAGUGAUAUUCCGCAUCGGAGAGCGAUGAGCCCCUGCCGUUAAACCCCCAACUUUCCAAGGUUGACCUCAGAUCAGGUAGGAAUACCCGCUGAACUUAAGCAUAUCAAUAAGCGGAGGA